CGAGUCUUAACUGGGCGAAUAAGUUGCAGGGUAUAGACCCGAAACCCGGUGAUCUAGCCAUGGGCAGGUUGAAGGUUGGGUAACACUAACUGGAGGACCGAACCGACUAAUGUUGAAAAAUUAGCGGAUGACUUGUGGCUGGGGGUGAAAGGCCAAUCAAACCGGGAGAUAGCUGGUUCUCCCCGAAAGCUAUUUAGGUAGCGCCUCGUGAACUCAUCUUCGGGGGUAGAGCACUGUUUCGACUAGGGGGUCAUCCCGACUUACCAACUCGAUGCAAACUACGAAUACCGAAGAAUGUUAUCACGGGAGACACACGGCGGGUGCUAACGUUCGUCGUGAAGAGGGAAACAACCCAGACCGCCAGCUAAGGUCCCAAAGUCAUAGUUAAGUGGGAAACGAAGUGGGAAGGCUCAGACAGCCAGGAUGUUGGCUUAGAAGCAGCCAUCAUUUAAAGAAAGCGUAAUAGCUCACUGGUCGAGUCGGCCUGCGCGGAAGAUGUAACGGGGCUAAACUAUGCACCGAAGCUGCGGCAGCGAUAUGUAAAUAUUGUUGGGUAGGGGAGCGUUCUGUAA
RNAcentral lists this ribosomal RNA (572 nucleotides) under Providencia rettgeri. RNAcentral's name for it is "partial 23S ribosomal RNA". It matches the Rfam family "Bacterial large subunit ribosomal RNA", at positions 678 to 1246 of the family's 2925-position model. The record is from RNAcentral. Lineage: Bacteria; Pseudomonadati; Pseudomonadota; Gammaproteobacteria; Enterobacterales; Morganellaceae.